Octopus sinensis (East Asian common octopus) is the source of this 148-nucleotide long non-coding RNA. RefSeq lists it as uncharacterized. The record is from RefSeq and is a predicted model, not a curated record. The transcript has 3 exons. Lineage: Eukaryota; Metazoa; Mollusca; Cephalopoda; Octopoda; Octopodidae.
CAUUCCUUUCUCCUUAACUAAAAAAUACGAGAUAGACGAAAGAUGGAAGGGAUACUGGAAGCUGGCCACAGAUUUAGAGAGACUAGUAAUAUUUCCACUCAUAAAAACGACAAAAAGACCAGACUUAGUCCUAUGGGACAGAGAACAG